AUUGAACGCUGGCGGCAUGCUUUACACAUGCAAGUCGAACGGUAACAGGCCUUCGGGUGCUGACGAGUGGCGAACGGGUGAGUAAUGCAUCGGAACGUACCCAGAGGUGGGGGAUAACGCAGCGAAAGCUGUGCUAAUACCGCAUGUGAUCUGAGGAUGAAAGCGGGGGACCGAGCAGCAAUGUUUGGCCUCGCGCCUUUGGAGCGGCCGAUGUCGGAUUAGCUAGUUGGUGGGGUAAAGGCCUACCAAGGCGACGAUCCGUAGCUGGUCUGAGAGGACGACCAGCCUCACUGGGACUGAGACACGGCCCAGACUCCUACGGGAGGCAGCAGUGGGGAAUUUUGGACAAUGGGCGCAAGCCUGAUCCAGCAAUGCCGCGUGCGGGAAGAAGGCCUUCGGGUUGUAAACCGCUUUUGGCAGGAACGAAACGGUGUCCGCUAAUACCGGGCGCUAAUGACGGUACCUGCAGAAUAAGCACCGGCUAACUACGUG
RNAcentral lists this ribosomal RNA (492 nucleotides) under uncultured bacterium. RNAcentral's name for it is "partial 16S ribosomal RNA". It matches the Rfam family "Bacterial small subunit ribosomal RNA", at positions 30 to 507 of the family's 1533-position model. The record is from RNAcentral.